UCGGACGGGAUUGGAGAGCUUGCUUUCCAUGAGAGUGGCGCACGGGCGCGUAACACGUAUGUAACCUACCUUAAUCUGGGGGAUAGCCUCUCGAAAGAGAGAUUAACACCGCAUAAUAUGUUUGAACAGCAUUGUUUAAACAUCAAAUAUUUAUAGGAUUAAGAUGGGCAUGCGGAACAUUAGCUAGUUGGUAAGGUAAUGGCUUACCAAGGCUACGAUGUUUAGGGGAUCUGAGAGGAUGACCCCCCACACUGGUACUGAGACACGGACCAGACUCCUACGGGAGGCAGCAGUAAGGAAUAUUGGUCAAUGGGCGCAAGCCUGAACCAGCCAUGCCGCGUGCAGGAAGACGGCCCUACGGGUUGUAAACUGCUUUUGUACCGGAAUAAACCUUGAUACGUGUAUCGAGCUGAAUGUACGGUAAGAAUAAGGAUCGGCUAACUCCGUGCCAGCAGCCGCG
RNAcentral lists this ribosomal RNA (460 nucleotides) under uncultured soil bacterium. Its description in RNAcentral is "bacterial SSU rRNA". It matches the Rfam family "Bacterial small subunit ribosomal RNA", at positions 62 to 519 of the family's 1533-position model. The record is from RNAcentral.